RNAcentral lists this ribosomal RNA (478 nucleotides) under uncultured bacterium. RNAcentral's name for it is "bacterial SSU rRNA". It matches the Rfam family "Bacterial small subunit ribosomal RNA", at positions 28 to 489 of the family's 1533-position model. The record is from RNAcentral.
GAUGAACGCUGGCGGCAUGCCUAAUACAUGCAAGUCGAACGAGAGGAAGGAAAGCUUGCUUUUCUGAAUCUAGUGGCGAACGGGUGAGUAACACGUAGGUAACCUGCCCAUGUGCCCGGGAUAACUUCUGGAAACGGAUGCUAAAACCGGAUAGGUAGCAGACAAGCAUUUGACUGCUAUUAAAGUGGCUAAGGCCAUGAACAUGGAUGGACCUGCGGUGCAUUAGCUAGUUGGUGAGGUAACGGCCCACCAAGGCGACGAUGCAUAGCCGGCCUGAGAGGGCGGACGGCCACAUUGGGACUGAGACACGGCCCAAACUCCUACGGGAGGCAGCAGUAGGGAAUUUUCGUCAAUGGGGGGAACCCUGAACGAGCAAUGCCGCGUGAGUGAAGAAGGUCUUCGGAUCGUAAAGCUCUGUUGUAAGAGAAAAACGACAUUCAUAGGGAAUGAUGAGUGAGUGAUGGUAUCUUACCAGAAA